UACAUGUGGGGCAAGCGUUGUUCGGAAUUACUGGGCAUAAAGGGUGCGUAGGUGGCUUGUUAAGUCAGGGGUGAAAGUUUUCGGCCCAACCGGAAAAUGGCCUUUGAUACUGGCGAGCUCGAGUGCGUGAGGGGUAACCGGAACGAGCAGUGUAGCGGUGAAAUGCGUAGAUAUCAGGAAGAACACCCGUGGCUAAGGCGGCUCUCUAGUACGGUACUGACGCUGAGACGCGAAAGCGUGGGGAGCGAACAGG
RNAcentral lists this ribosomal RNA (253 nucleotides) under uncultured bacterium. Its description in RNAcentral is "partial 16S ribosomal RNA". It matches the Rfam family "Bacterial small subunit ribosomal RNA", at positions 524 to 776 of the family's 1533-position model. The record is from RNAcentral.